UCUUGUGGCGAGUGGCGAAUCUUCGGCAUGCCAUGUAAGCAUGCUUGUGCUUGCAUCGAGAAGGCCGACAGAUCCUUGUACCAAUUCACUGACAUUUGGUUCCAAGCUGAAUUGUAUAGAACAACAUAUGCCGAAGCAAUUAAUCCAAUUCCUGAUAUUGAGGAGCCGCACAGUGCAUCUGAAGAGAUUCACAUUCUACCCUCUAUGAAAAAGACACGUCCUGGCAGGCCUAAAAAGAAGAGAAGACCUUCUCAAGUUGAGUUAGUACGUGAUAUGAGAUGUGGACGAUGCGGGAAGCUUGGGCACAACAGAAGGACAUGUUAUGAGGUCAUACUGUAAACAAUAUGGUGCUCUACUAUACAUUGAAGGUAUGGAACACCUUUGGCACACCCUUGGCACACCUUUUGCACACUCUUGGCACACCUUUGGCACACCAUUGCAUACAGUUUUAAUCCCAUGGCACGCCAUGGCACACCCUGUAUUCUUAUUAUAAAUGCCAUUAUACACCAUGUUUUUUAAUAGAAAUCUGAAGAAGAAAAAAAACAUCGCUUUAAGCUCUGUGCACACAGUUACCUGUUACCUGCUUCUCUGCACACAGUUACCUGUUACCUGCACUCAGAUAUGGUUUCUGUGCACACUUAAAACUUAAGCAAUCUGAUUUUUUUCCCUUACUUAUCUGGUACUUUCAGAUUCUAGAUGGUCUAAAAGUGGUGCAAUUGCAAUGGCCAAAUGCUUAUCGAUGGUGCAGUCGAGAAUAUGGGGAAGGAUGUGGUGACGUUGUAGUAAAGGAAGACCUUUUGAAGUAAAGGAAGUUGAUUGUUGAUGUUGUCAACUAAUACAAUUUUUGGAUAAUUUCAGAAUUUAUCAAUGUGGAAUACUAUUAAGUUCCUUUUUCAUAUUAAUUUGUUGAUGUUAGCUGAUGCUAUGCCUUUUUGGGUGGCUGAUUUAUGUGGAGAGACCUUCUGUUGA
This is a non-coding RNA of Phoenix dactylifera (date palm), 969 nucleotides long. NCBI's taxonomy places the organism in Eukaryota, Viridiplantae, Streptophyta, Magnoliopsida, Arecales, Arecaceae. The record is from RefSeq and is a predicted model, not a curated record.